CCCAAUUGCGGUGUCUACCAUGCAGUCGAGCGGAGCACAGGAGAGGUUGCUGGAUGCGUGGCCAGUGGCGGAAGUGUGAGGAAUACAUCUGACUCUACUCUGUCGUGAGCGAUAACGUACGGAAACUUACGCUAAUACCGCAUACGACCUACGGGUGAAAGCAGGGGAUCUUCGGACCUUGCGCAUUUGAAUGAGCCGAUGUCGGAUUAUCUAGUUGGCGGGGUAAAGGCCCGCCAAGGUCACGAUCCGGACCUGGACUGAGAGGAUGAUCACUGACACUGAAACUGAGACACGAUCGCAUACUCCUACGGGAGGCAGCAAUGGGGAAUAUUGGACAAUGGGCACGAGCCUGAUCAGCCACUAGCUGCGUGAGAAGAACAACGCCUUCGGGUUGUAAAGACAUCUUGUUGAGAAAGAAAUACAGCAUGGCAGAUACACGGUUGCGAUGACGGCACCCAAAGAACAGUAUGCACCGUCUAAGUUCGCGCCAGCAGCAGCGGUAAUACGAAGAGUGCUAACAGUACUAAUCACAGUUACUAGACCUAAAGAGUGCCGUAUGUAGCUCGAUCAACUACGUGGUGCCAAAGACCUCCGCGCGUCAACAUCGGGAACAGCAACAGGAUACUGCACGACUAGGUAAUAGAGGUAGGAGGGUAGCGCCUAGUACUGGCUGUAACAGUGAAAUGAGGAGAGAUCAGCAGGAACAUCCACGGCGAACGACAGCUACCGCGACCAACAUUGACACUCGAAACACGCAGAGCAGUGAAAAGCAAACACAAACAUCCAGAUACCCUGGUAGUACACGACGCUCAUACGAUGCGAACUGGAUGUCGGGGGCAAUCUGGCACGCAGUAUCGACAGCAUAACGCGUGAACGUGUCGCCGCCUGCGGAGUACAGUCGCAAGACUCGAAAUCUCAAAGGAAGUAGACGCGGCAGCACCGCACACAGACCGAUGGAGUAUGAUGGUCUUAACUACGAUGCAACACCUAAGAACCCGUACUCUGGCCCCUGACACAUCGUAGACACUUUCGAGAAUAUGGACUUUGCUGCCAUCUCGAGACUCUCGAUCACACGAGGCCUGCACGUCGCUGUCGUCAGCCUCGUGACGUGGGGAUGUUGGGCUAAGAUCCAGCAACGAGAGCGUAACCCUAGUCCUUAGCUGCCUCAGCACAGUAAUGCCUGGGAACUCAUAGGCGAAUCCGACCAGCUGCACAAACCGGAGGAAGGUACGGCAUGACGUCAAGUCAUCAUAGGCCCUUAGCGGCAAGGGCUACACAAGUACUACAAUGGUCAGGGACAGAAGGCUGCAAGCCGGACACGGUAAGCCAAUCCCAGAAACCCCUCUCAGUCAGGAUUGGAGUUUGCAACUCGACUCCAUGAAGUCGGACUCGCUAGUAAUUCCAGAUCAGCAUUUCGCGGUGAAUACGUUCCCGGGCCUUCACACUCCGCCCGUCACACCAUGUAGUUUGUUGCACCAGAAGCAGGUAGCUUAACCUUAGGGAGGGCGCUUGCCACGGAGUGGCUCAUGACUGGGGGAAGUCGAACAAGUUGCCUUCC
RNAcentral lists this ribosomal RNA (1558 nucleotides) under Stenotrophomonas maltophilia. Its description in RNAcentral is "bacterial SSU rRNA". It matches the Rfam family "Bacterial small subunit ribosomal RNA". Lineage: Bacteria; Pseudomonadati; Pseudomonadota; Gammaproteobacteria; Lysobacterales; Lysobacteraceae. The record is from RNAcentral.